UGAAGAAGAAGGGGCCGCUUCAUUCCCCAGACACACCUUCAGGAUACUGCCGCCUCUUAAACCCUGGCCUACCCAACGGUUCUACUAGGCAGCUAUUACGGGGAGUCUCAACGUCUGGUCUUACAUAGUCACGAAAAGGGGAAGACCUCUACAAAUGAGUAAAAAAAAGAAAAAUACAAAAAAUUGGGCGGUCGAGGAAAUUAAGCUAGACUAGAUCCUACUUAAAAGUAAAGACUUGAGGUCUCUGGACUUCCACAUGGUUCUUACCUACAAAUAUGGGGGAGAAGUUGACUCCUAGUUCAACGUGGUCAUGAUGAAGAGGAAAAAUUGUCUACAAAUGAGUAAAAAAAAGUCACAGGAAAUUGCAUCCUCCAGGAUAUUAAGGAGACUAGAUGCUCUAGAUGUGCCAUAAUGAUCCUACGUGAGCAACAAA
This is a long non-coding RNA of Sarcophilus harrisii (Tasmanian devil), 433 nucleotides long. RefSeq lists it as uncharacterized. Lineage: Eukaryota; Metazoa; Chordata; Mammalia; Dasyuromorphia; Dasyuridae. The transcript has 2 exons. The record is from RefSeq and is a predicted model, not a curated record.